AACGCAAGUUGCGCCCGAUGCCAUUAGGCUGAAGGCACGUCUGCCUGGGCGUCACGCAUGGCGUCGCCCACUCACCCCGUGCCUCUGUGGGCGGAAGGUGUGUGAGCGGAUAUUGGCCCCCCGUUCACGUUCGUGCUCGGUCGGUCUAAAAGGAAAGUCCCCAACGACGGACAUCACGGCGAGUGGUGGUUGCCAGACCGUCCCGACGCGUCGUGCAUGCUGUUCUUUGUCGUUGGCCGGCUCAUCGACCCCCGAGUACCGUCAGGUACUCGGUACCUCGACUGCGACCCCAGGUCAGGCGGGAUCACCCGCUGAGUUUAA
RNAcentral lists this unclassified non-coding RNA (321 nucleotides) under Inocybe sp. Its description in RNAcentral is "partial contains 5.8S ribosomal RNA, internal transcribed spacer 2, and large subunit ribosomal RNA". Lineage: Eukaryota; Fungi; Basidiomycota; Agaricomycetes; Agaricales; Inocybaceae. The record is from RNAcentral.